GUGCUUUCAUGGCACAUAUAUUAAAACUGGAAUGAUACAGAAAAAAAUUAGCAUGGCCCUUGAACAAAGAUGACAUGGAGA
This 81-nucleotide small nuclear RNA is filed under the name Sciurus vulgaris (Eurasian red squirrel). The record is from RNAcentral. Lineage: Eukaryota; Metazoa; Chordata; Mammalia; Rodentia; Sciuridae.